Molecule: ribosomal RNA, 434 nt
Filed under: uncultured bacterium
Lineage: Bacteria
Description: partial 16S ribosomal RNA
Rfam family: Bacterial small subunit ribosomal RNA
Source: RNAcentral
AGCGAACGCUGGCGGCAGGCCUAACACAUGCAAGUCGAACGAACCUUUCGGGGUUAGUGGCGGACGGGUGAGUAACACGUGGGAACGUGCCUUUAGGUUCGGAAUAACUCAGGGAAACUUGUGCUAAUACCGAAUGUGCCCUUCGGGGGAAAGAUUUAUCGCCUUUAGAGCGGCCCGCGUCUGUUUAGCCAGUUGGUUGAGGUAAUGGCUCACCAAGGCGACGAUCCGUAGCUGGUCAGGGAGGAUGAUCAGCCAGGUUGGGACUGAGAUACGCCCCAACCCCCGACGGGAGGCAGCGGUGGGGAUUCUUGCGCAAGGAGAGAAAGCCUGACGCCGCCAUGCGGCGGGAAUAAUAAGGGUCUUAGGAUUGUAAAAUUCUUGCCCGGGGGAGGAGAAGGAGGGGACCCGAAAAAGAGGCCCCGGCUAAUUUGGUC